UGGGGUGUCGACAAGCGGUAAGUCAACGGACUUUGGAUCCGUCAUCCCAGGUUCGAAUCCUGGCACCCCAGACA
RNAcentral lists this transfer RNA (74 nucleotides) under bacterium. Its description in RNAcentral is "tRNA-Gln". It matches the Rfam family "tRNA". Rfam says of the family: Transfer RNA (tRNA) molecules are approximately 80 nucleotides in length. Their secondary structure includes four short double-helical elements and three loops (D, anti-codon, and T loops). The record is from RNAcentral.